This 66-nucleotide non-coding RNA is filed under the name unclassified sequences. The record is from Rfam.
AGUGGGAACGCACGGUCGUAACUCUGACUCGCCGUUCGCUUGGACGGCUCGGGAUUGCGGCGGUGU